Long non-coding RNA from Gavialis gangeticus (Gharial), 647 nucleotides. RefSeq lists it as uncharacterized. The record is from RefSeq and is a predicted model, not a curated record. The transcript has 3 exons. Lineage: Eukaryota; Metazoa; Chordata; Crocodylia; Gavialidae.
CAGCCCCCCACCAGCGUCACCCGCGUCCUGACAGUCGCCGCGACGAGCAACAAGGUGGAGGGGGAGCAGCAGGCAGGCCAGUGUCUGCUGUCCAGCCCUGGGCUCUGGGUUGGGUACGUCCUGGAGAAGGGCCUCAUCGGAGCUUUCCUCUUCUUCCUCUUCGUGCGCAGGAAGGAGCCGUAAGCUCCCAGCUGCUUUCACGCCUCGGCCGCUUGCAAGCUUGGAGGCAGCCUCUCUCCCCAGAGGCAGGAUGGAGCACGCAGGUGGAGCGGUGGUGGGCUCACCAGCUGCUCCAUGCACCCCGGGGAGGGGCUCCAGACCUGGCUGCUGCCCCCCACCCCAGCCCGUUCCCCAGCAGCUUUGCCUUGACCCAGUUCAGGAGCUGGCUCCAUGCAAGUGCAAUGCAGCUGUGUGUCAUUCACUCCCUGACCACGCCGUGCAGUGCCGCGGGGCUGUGCACAGUGUCCCCAAGUGUCCUGCAGGCCCUGAGCUGUCCUGGGAGCAUGGGCGCCUGGUCCGGCUGCUCAGUCUUGCUCCCGGGGCCAGUGAGGACAGGGCGCUCUGCAGAGGGAUGCUGUGUUGCUGUCUCUGUUGGCUCCUGUCACUUCUGUUUGGAAAUAAACCAUGCUAGACAUGCUUGCACCUGC